This 528-nucleotide long non-coding RNA is filed under the name Triticum aestivum (bread wheat). Its description in RNAcentral is "long non-coding RNA (TAES_LNC013703)". Lineage: Eukaryota; Viridiplantae; Streptophyta; Magnoliopsida; Poales; Poaceae. The record is from RNAcentral.
AAAGGGAAAAUAUAUUGUGUAUACCAUGAUUUAUUACUUAUAUUUGUCCAACCAAAAGAAAAUUUACACAGCAAAGUACAGAUCACAAAACGUCCGGCGUACAUACUAGAAGCCCAUAUUCAAGUCCACAAAACUCAGAACUCGGAUAUUGUGGGAAGUUUUAUUGUAUCUCCAUCUUAUUAUUCUGCAAGAGGUGGCCAGACCGGCACCUCAAACUUUGACAAGUAGCGGCCGCGGGCCGGGCUCAGUGCUGUCCGGGCAGCUUCUCCUUGAUCUUGUCCAUGAUGCCCUUCUUCUCGCCGGUGCCGUCAGUGCCAUGCGUCCCAGUACCGGUCAUUCCGGUUUGUCCCGGCUGCCCGUAGGUACCGCCUGUGGCCGUGGUGCCAUGCGCCCCGGUGCCGGCCAUGCCAGUACCCUGCUGUCCAUAGGUGCCAUCGGCGUGCUGCUGGUCACCGUGGCCACCAGGGAGCUUCUCCUUGAUCUUAUCCUUGAUGCCCUUCUUCCUCCUCCCGCCCAUGCCAUCAUCCU